This is a long non-coding RNA of Suricata suricatta (meerkat), 1895 nucleotides long. RefSeq lists it as uncharacterized. The record is from RefSeq and is a predicted model, not a curated record. NCBI's taxonomy places the organism in Eukaryota, Metazoa, Chordata, Mammalia, Carnivora, Herpestidae. The transcript has 2 exons.
UGUCGGCACUGGUUGACACCCAGGUUGGACAAGCCCCAGUGUUGACUUCUAGUGGCAGAUACUCUGAUUCGGUUCUCUCCAGAUUACAAGCACCCUUUGAUUCAUUCAUUCAUCCACUCAUUCAGCAAAUAUUUACUGAACUCAAAGUAGGUAUCAGGCACGAUGAUAAGUGAUGUGUGGGACACAGUCCCUGUCUUUACUGAAGCAGAGGUAAGGUGGAAAUUCUACACAAAUAACUUUCUUAUAAGGCAGCAGUAUGUGCAAUGCACAGGUGGAAUGCAGAAAGAGAGGAAAUGAUGUCUGUUUCCCAAGAUCAAGGAGGCUGACACUGGAGUAUAGGUAACGAUGCGAUAAAGGGGGGACAUUCCCGCCAGAGGGAACAAACUGCCCAGAGGCCAGGAAGCAUGGGGGUUCGGGGUCCGCCCAUAUACACUGAAGAGGCUAGCAGUACAUGAGGCAGGUAGCAGAGUUGUACAGGGUAGAAGGAACAUGUGCUCUGGAAUAAGACCCACCAGAAUUCAAAUCCUGGUUCUCCCACUGUGUAGUAGUAUUUUCUUACCUCUGUAGAUGUUGAUGUUCUCAUCUGUACGUUAGGGUUAACAGUCCUCUCUCAUAGAGGAAUGUGAAUGGUAAAUGGGAGACUGAUUAUAGAAUGGUUAGAAUACUGCUGGUGUUCACGUAAUGAUAACCAUUGUUAUCCUGCGCAUUUAACCUUUUGUACAGUGGUCUGCCUUGGGAUAGAUGUAUAAGUCCUAAUAGAUUCUUCUUGGCCUUGGAAACAGUAACAAAGGGAGUAGACCCUAAGCUCUAUGGGAGGAACCCUGUAAAGGACUGUUUAUCUUGGGUCUUUCACCCCUUCUUUGCCACUUCAGUGCCCAGGGCUUUCAGAGACCAAAUAAUUUCAUAUAAGGGGAUCCUCUGCAAUAUUUAGGACAUGCUUAUACUAAAAAGUUAUUUGUUAUUUAUCUGAAAUUUGAAUUCCGUUGGCCAUCUUUUGUGGAGGGACAGCCCAAGAACCAGCCCGAACAGGCUGUGUGCCUUACUGGGGAAAGGGAACUCACUGGUCUUCUAAGCUUUCUCUUGGGUAGUGUAGGCUUGCACAGCAGGCUGUAGGCAGUGCCCUCAAGUUGCUUCCUGGGUAGAGAUUUUAAAUGUUGGUGGGCGUUCCUGGGAGUGGGAGUAGGGAUGAUGUGGGGAAGGGCGUCUUGGACCAAUCUUCUCAUAUUCCCAUCCUUGUUCUUAAGAACAUUCUCACGGACAAUUGGCAGAAUGAAGACCGCCUCUGUGGGUUGAUAACUUGUCUCACUAAGUAAGAACAAGCCCUCUGUUACAGCGUUUUUCUUCCAGGAGCAUUGCUAAAAGUGGGAACUUCAGCUGUCCCUUGUGGUAUGACUCAAGAUGGCCAUGGCAGGUGUGACAGUAACUGACCAAACACUCCCUGCUCUGCCCUUCCCAGAGACAUUUUAAAACUAGGCCCGAGUCUCACUGAUGAAUGAACCUCAGCAACAUAUACUUAUGAGAAUAUAACCAACGGUUACCUCUCUGCAAGCCAAGCCUGACACGUGGGUUGUCUUUUCCAGUCCUGUUAGACUUUAACCUGUGAUUUUCCACUUGCAUUUUGGGCCUUUUCAGAGGUAAAUGUGAGAGUCAGACUCUCCAGUUACCUCAGGGGCGAGUUCGUCCCUUCACACUGGUGAGCCUAAGGCCUGCAGUAGCAUCUCUGUUCCUCCUCGCAAACCAUUCAGGUCUCGGUCUUGGAUGGUCUCGGGUGGGCCCCGUGACUGUGAAGGAGUCACGUCACUCCUCCUCUGAAAACACAGGGGUGGGACUAGACCAAGAAUUGGCAAACAACAGCCAGCCGCCUGUUUUCACAAAUAAAGGUUUAUUGGAACACA